AACUGCUAUGGUCAUAUUACCCCAAUUAGGGCGCCCCCAAAUCUCUCACUACACUUUAGAUCUGUCUGUAUAUACCUAUUUCUCUUAGAAAACUUAGGGUACUUUUUGCAUUUAUCGUUGCACAGAAGUUUUCGACAUAUUCUCGAUUUAAACUAUGCAGCGCCCUUUCGUUGUUAUACAUGGGGCAUUCCUGAAUUAUGUGCCGAAUGGUUACAGUAGUCCCACAUCGUUCGCACUGUCGGGCAAUCUCACCCUUAAGAAUGUGUUGGUGCGUUAUCUGCGCAUGCCCUAUUCGCAGUCGGUGCAUUUUUACAUUUUCUUCCCUAGUGGCCUGGUCUAACACAUAGAGUUUCCGUACAUCUGGUUUUAUUCGGGUCAGGUAUUCUCCUAAGUCCAACGGAUGUAUAAGGUUAACAUCAAUGUGAUUACUUAACGCAGCCUGGCAUGCAGCAUGGUCUGCUUGAUCGUUUCCAGAACUUGAGAAUGGACUGGCAUCUUUUCGUCAUCGCACCAACAGGAUAUAUUUCAGAGAUCCCAUUCACUGCUUCCAUACAAUCUGUGACGAUGAUAACAUUUUGUCUAUCGCCGAUGGAGCAAUAUAACAACGCCUGCCACAGCGCAUAUUGUUCGGCAAAGCGAAUUGAGGACCACGAACAUAAACUCCAUUCAUAGGACUCUUCUCCAAUCACCAUCGCACUUCCAACACCACUCUCCGUUCUAGACCCGUCAGUAUAGAUGAUUUCAUACGAAGGAUAUU
Molecule: long non-coding RNA, 757 nt
Organism: Photinus pyralis (common eastern firefly)
Lineage: Eukaryota; Metazoa; Arthropoda; Insecta; Coleoptera; Lampyridae
Exons: 3
Source: RefSeq, a predicted model, not a curated record